CCCUGGGAGGGGGAUAACGUUCCGAAAGGAACGCUAAUACCGCAUAAGACCACGAGAGGUACGCCUCUUGAGGUAAAAGCUGGCCUCUGCUUGCAAGCUAGCGCCCUAGAAUGAGUCUGCGGCCCAUCAGCCAGUUGGUAGGGUAAUGGCCUACCAAAGCGAAGACGGGUAGCUGUUCUGAGAGGAUGAUCAGCCACACUGGCACUGAAACACGGGCCAG
RNAcentral lists this ribosomal RNA (220 nucleotides) under uncultured bacterium. Its description in RNAcentral is "partial 16S ribosomal RNA". It matches the Rfam family "Bacterial small subunit ribosomal RNA", at positions 130 to 334 of the family's 1533-position model. The record is from RNAcentral.